Molecule: ribosomal RNA, 484 nt
Filed under: uncultured bacterium
Lineage: Bacteria
Description: partial 16S ribosomal RNA
Rfam family: Bacterial small subunit ribosomal RNA
Source: RNAcentral
AUUGAACGCUGGCGGCAGGCCUAACACAUGCAAGUCGAGCGGAAGAAGGGAGCUUGCUCCUGGAUUCAGCGGCGGACGGGUGGGUAAUGCCUAGGAAUCUGCAUGGGUGUGGGGGAUAACGUCCGGAAACGGGCGCUAAUACCGCAUACGUCCUGAGGGAGAAAGUGGGGGAACUUAGGACCUCACGCUAUCACAUGAGCUUAGGUCGGAUUAGCUAGUUGGUGGGGUAAAGGCCUACCAAGGCGACGAUCCGUAACUGGUCUGAGAGGAUGAUCAGUCACACUGGAACUGAGACACGGUCCAGACUCCUACGGGAGGCAGCAGUGGGGAAUAUUGGACAAUGGGCGAAAGCCUGAUCCAGCCAUGCCGCGUGUGUGAAGAAGGUCUUCGGAUUGUAAAGCACUUUAAGUUGGGAGGAAGGGCAGUAAGUUAAUACCUUGCUGUUUUGACGUUACCAACAGAAUAAGCACCGGCUAACUUCGUG